Schistocerca gregaria is the source of this 4727-nucleotide long non-coding RNA. RefSeq lists it as uncharacterized. NCBI's taxonomy places the organism in Eukaryota, Metazoa, Arthropoda, Insecta, Orthoptera, Acrididae. The transcript is spliced from 2 exons. The record is from RefSeq and is a predicted model, not a curated record.
GAACAUAUUCUGUUUUAUCAUAGGGAAUAAACUGAUUUUUAAUUUGUUGACUAAUAAAACUGUUUUUCAGUUCUCUUGUCCUGAACAGAAUACAGCACCAGGUACUAGUUCAUCUCAGGUUAUAUUUUGCUUAAAUUAUUUUGCAUUAAUUAUACCUUGUAUGCCAAGCUGUUGUUUCCUCCAAAGUUAUAUUCUACACGGAACAUAAUUAUAGAAUGUAACGUAAAGGAAUUGGAAAGAAAUUACUGAAGAAAGAAGAUAAUAAAAGAAAUGUUCACCUUAGGAUGUAUAUCAUACCGCUAAAAAAUUAAUGUUUUUGGUUACGACUGAGCGUGUGAGAAUAAUGAUUUUGUUGACAUAUACUAGACUGGUUAAGACAUUGAGCUUGCUAACAACUUGUCUAUCCGUAGACACUUUUUUCUCUGUUGGGGUACUACACAAAACUUCAGGUAUAAUGUUAGCAGUGAGUAUAGUCGGGCAUGAACAUGUUCCAGUUUUUUGAAUGAUGACAUUCUCUCCAUGGAAACGAUCAUAGGCAACAUGGCAGCAUUUCAGUUUUGACAAGGAAAGUGGGCGUAGCAUUAACCAAUUUUAGCUUUCACUUUGUGAAGUUUAGUGUAGCUAGUAUGUGCUAAGUCAGGACACAUGUAUGAAGAUCCGAUUAUGACAUUCUCUAUUAAAAGUGCUACUAAUUUGUGCUGCAACGUCUCAGUUCAGCACCUGUGCUUACAACCCGUUAUUCGUUCCAUAUGAACAGACAAGUCUAAGUUCGUUAACGAGGUUAAGCUUUGCCAUUGUAACUCAAAGACCAGGUACAGUUUCUGUUGAGCACUUGGCCAUAAGGGUUAGCAUGGCUGUAAGAGGAGUAGAAAACAUAAUAUCUUCACAGUACCCAAAACUAGAAACUACUGAAGAAAUGGCUCUGAGACUUAACAUCUGAGGUCAUCGGUCCCCUGGAACUCAGAACUACCUAAACCUAACUAACCGAAGGACAUCACCCCCAUCCAUGCCCGAGGCAGGAUUCGAACCUUCGACCGUAGAGGUCGCGCGGUUCCAGACUGAAGCGCCUAGAACCCGUCGGCCACACCGGCCGGCUAGAAACUACUGAGCCACAGCUAAAUCUCUGCUCUACAGAUCACUAUAGAAUUUGAGUCAAAGUUUUUGUGAUUCUGUAGGUUCGCGCUUUCACAGGAUUUUUCCUUUUGCUUUUGUGUGUAGGGGUGUAGUUUAAUGAUCUGUGAAUUAUGCAGGGCCAGAGGUUACUUGUAGGAGGGGCUGCUAAUUCACAACUUUAAACUUGGCUUUAGAUCCGAGCACGAGAAAUAAAAUGGAAGAAAGAACGAAGAACACCGUAAGAAACAAAGGAGCGCCCAUAUGACAUCAGAAGAUAGCAAAAUGUAGCCAGCAGUUGUACGGGGGAGGGGGGGGGGGGGGUGGCGAGAACAAAGACGAAGUUCCAGUUGCGCAGAAAUUGCCAUUAUCACUGUUCUUUUACUGUACAAAAAGCUAGUAAUUGCCAUAAGUUGUUACAAAUAACUGUUUAUUACUGACAAAGACUGUCUGUUCCGCAUAUCAAAAUAGUUUGUUUCCUUUAGCUAAUAACAUAAACAUGGGUACCUCUGCAUAAAAAAAAAACCUUUCAUGCGGAGACCAGGCUGUGAGCGGCAAUUUACUCUCACCGUGUAAAAACUUAAGAAUUCCGCGGCGCGGCGUCCCUUUUGUCGCUGUAACAAAGCUUGCGCGGGGAAUAAGAAGAGGCUGCAUUGCACUCUAAGUAGAGGUUCAGCGCGCAGCAAGAACCGAUACACGGCUGUGCGGCAAUUCAACAAACAAGCCGCGCGUUAGCCGACGUCCAGAGUUGUGCAACUCCUCCGCGAGAAACGAUUUGCUUACAGGGCACGAUCGGUCCUAUUCGUGAGCUCCGAUGGACUCGCCUGUUUCGUUCCAGAGGAGUGCUAAGGAGGCUCUUCGCUAUAUACCGUAUAUCGUUCACGCUCCCCAACUACAACGACACUGAUGACGACAGUAUAUUAGAUUGUCGCCGAAUGAGCAAAAGCGGAUACUCAAAGACGUGAAAGCUGUUACUGUUUCAUAAUAACAUGUAGAGACGAAAUUAACAACCAGAUUUGUUUCACACUAUCACAGAGACUCUACAGAAGGCGGCCGGAAGGGUAAUUGAGAUAAAUAUUCUUCCCCACUAUAGCUACGUCUUUACUUAAGAAGCGUGUACUAACAUACAAAAAAAAAAAAAAAUCCGAACUAUACCUCCAAUAACUGCCAGUACCGAUUACCAAAAAAAAUCUAAAUAUUCUUUCAAUGUUGAGCAGUUAAUUAAAAAGCUUAAACUGUAUGUGACAUAACACAUAACAAAUCUUACAUACAACAGUGAUACAAUUUUUCACGUUAACCGCGAGAUGUUACGAGCACUUAUGUCGUAACUGGUAUAUUCGUGUCCGGAGGUAUAAGAUGAACUCUACACGUUUUGUAUCUGUCACGGGUUGGUGUGUGAUUGGUACAAUAUCUUCCGAAAAUUAUUUGUAAUGGUAGUAGUUGUUGUUGUAGUAGUUGUCGUAGUUUUAUUCAUCGUUCUACUCGUCACAGGAACCUACGAGUGGUCCUAAGACUUUUAAAUCGUCUUUUGAGCAGUAUAUUUCAUCAAAGAGAAGUUACAUUCGAAUCUCUUCGCAAUAUCCUCUCAGAUAUUUUACUAGCUUAUUAAAGAUCAUUCUGUCAGCAAAAAUCGUCAAUUUACCUAUGAAUAGAUUUAGGAAUUUCAAGCUUUAAAUUAGCAUUUAAGACCCUUACAGUGCAACGUAUAACUUAUUGCGUAUAUUGUCGUAAUGUUUUGUGUUUUUAAAAAUUAUUAGUCCUCUUUUUUUCAGAUUUCUCUGAAUUAUGUAAUGACUCGUUUUAUGACCAAGCAGCUUCGCUUCACAUGGUUCCACAGAGUUAAAUUAAAUUAAAACGAAAUAAUGAGUGAUACCCUGAAUGUCAGUAGACCUAUUGUUUUAUUUGUGUCAAUUAAAAUGAUUUCAUACUCUUUCCUACAUGAUUUUCAGGGAAGCCUGAUGAAGAAAUUAUGAAAUUAAUGACGAAAAUUGAUUCAGAACUCUCUGAUACGGAGGCUGAUGAUACUGAGAAUGAAGAUACUCUGUGCAUGCCACAAGAUGAUACUAAUGACAAGGAAAGUUCAGCAUCAGAAGAAGAAUCUUCUGGUAUUGCUCAUACACAACAGAGACAACAGUUCCUGAGACAGGCAAAAUAGUCAGAGAUGCUUCUUGUAAUCUUCAGUGUGACGCUGACGUUGGUACCUCAGAAGCCUUAGGUGAACUGAUGAUGCCAUUAGGAUCUUUUUCCAUGCAGUUUAGUGGUUUCCUUUUUAAAGGUGUCACGAUUAGCAAAUUGUAAGCCUGUAAGUAAAAUUGUGAAGCCCUUAAAUGUAUUGUGCUGAAAUGCUCACAUGUAUUGUCAUGUAAGAUAACAGCAGGAAGUAAAAAGGGAAACCCAACCCAGAUUGGUUAAUCUUAAGAACUCAUUGCAAAGAGAUAAUCGACUUGUUUUCUAAUUAAUAUUGUGCCUCCGGGUGUUCCGUGGAGUCGUUGUUUCUAUUUUAUGCACAGUGGGAACAACUCGGAACAACACCCGGAAGCAUAUUAUUAACCAAUCCCGUCGAGAGAACCUGAGAGACUAAUUCAUUUUAAAUCGACUGAUCGAUAAUUUACUUCUGUCGCUACCCUUGAUAGCUUAUUGAGUUACAGAAAAAUCACACCUACUGGCUUAUUAGUGUUGUACAUAAUACUAAGAUACAUUGUUUCAUUGGGAUGCAACCUAAUUCAAAGCGUUUCCCGAAUUUUGUGGUCAAGAGAGACAAAUCGUAGCAGUGAUCAAAUAGUUUGAUGAAAGUCCAAUAUUUCUGAAUUCGGAUAAAUUCUGUGUUGAGUUAGAUGUAGUAUUGUUUCUUAGUAAACGGGAUGCAUUUUCAACUAAGUCCCUGGUCUAUUUGUAGUGGAGUCAUACGAUACCAGCAUAUGAGAAGCAGACGUACUAGACAGAGCAAUGGGAAAAUAUGGCAUAAGAGUCCGGCCCUACAGAUGGAUAACUAGCGUGAUUCCUCACAAUGUGAACUUCACAACUACUGCUGCUUAGUUAGUACAGAGAAUACUGUGCUAAAUGGAAUUACGAGGAAAUGAACAAUGCAGAAUAUUGAUUCAGACUUGAUAUUGCAGAAAUUGUAAUACAAUUUGAACAAAAAAUCUAGCUUGAAGAGGGAAACAAAAGAGCAGGAGACACGUCAAGAAGACAGAAAGGAAGAUGUACCCAAUACAGCGAAAGGCGUACACCUCCUUGGUCCCCUAGAGUCAGUGAAGACACGUUAAUAAAACAUGCUUAAUUUUUGUGAAAUGAUGUUUUAAAAUGUCGGGCAGAAAUGUGCAGAAGUACCGCAUCAGUGGAAGACGGGUUAAGAGUUGAUUUGUUUUACUACAGAUUGGAAUAGUCUUUAUUCAUUCCAUAAUAAACAGUAUUAAUUGUGAAUAAAUAGUAUUAACCUAGUUCUCAAAUACAUUUUAUCGCUAAUAAAAUCUACACAUUUUAUUGUUACACAUGAUAUUUUUAUUUUAAUAUUUCUGACGUGUUUGCUAACAACUACUGAGUAUUUUAUUACAAUGUAUGUGUUAUAAAUACACCUGGUAGUAGGAACUAAAAAUAAAUAUCCUUUGCAAACUUUA